Non-coding RNA from Pelobates cultripes (western spadefoot toad), 275 nucleotides. The record is from the annotation of a GenBank genome assembly. NCBI's taxonomy places the organism in Eukaryota, Metazoa, Chordata, Amphibia, Anura, Pelobatidae.
GUCAAUAACGUAAUGUCCCUUCUGCCAGUGAACCUGAAUAGUGGAACUGAUUCUAUGAUAAACAUUUUCCAAAGUGGGAACACAGCAAUCAUCCAGUUCACGACUGAUGUAAUGGUAUCGUAUGAUUGGGAUAGCGUUGUACGCAUUGAGCUCACAAGGCGUUAUUCAAAGAAUGUUGAAGGCAUGUGCGGGAAUUACAACCAGGAUCCGGCAGAUGACUUUCAAAUGCCUAGCGGCUCACAGGCCCCUAAUGCCAUUGAAUUUGGAAAGAGUUG